This is a small nuclear RNA of Eubalaena glacialis (North Atlantic right whale), 103 nucleotides long. Lineage: Eukaryota; Metazoa; Chordata; Mammalia; Artiodactyla; Balaenidae. The record is from RefSeq and is a predicted model, not a curated record.
UUGCUUUAGCAGCACAUGUACUAAAACCGGAACGAUACAGAGAAGAUCAGCAUGGCCCCUCUGUGCGGAUGACAUGCAAAUUCAUGAAGCGUUCCAUAAAAAA